GGGUUGUGAGGUUAAGCGACUAAGCGUACACGGUGGAUGCCCUGGCAGUCAGAGGCGAUGAAGGACGUGCUAAUCUGCGAUAAGCGCCGGUAAGGUGAUAUGAACCGUUAUAACCGGCGAUUUCCGAAUGGGGAAACCCAGUGUGAUUCGUCACACUAUCAUUAACUGAAUCCAUAGGUUAAUGAGGCGAACCGGGGGAACUGAAACAUCUAAGUACCCCGAGGAAAAGAAAUCAACCGAGAUUCCCCCAGUAGCGGCGAGCGAACGGGGAGGAGCCCAGAGCCUGAAUCAGCAUGUGUGUUAGUGGAAGCGUCUGGAAAGGCGCGCGAUACAGGGUGACAGCCCCGUACACAAAAGCGCAUGUGCUGUGAGCUCGAUGAGUAGGGCGGGACACGUGGUAUCCUGUCUGAAUAUGGGGGGACCAUCCUCCAAGGCUAAAUACUCCUGACUGACCGAUAGUGAACCAGUACCGUGAGGGAAAGGCGAAAAGAACCCCGGCGAGGGGAGUGAAAAAGAACCUGAAACCGUGUACGUACAAGCAGUGGGAGCACAGGUUUACCUGUGUGACUGCGUACCUUUUGUAUAAUGGGUCAGCGACUUAUAUUCUGUAGCAAGGUUAACCGUAUAGGGGAGCCGGAGGGAAACCGAGUCUUAAUUGGGCGUUAAGUUGCAGGGUAUAGACCCGAAACCCGGUGAUCUAGCCAUGGGCAGGUUGAAGGUUGGGUAACACUAACUGGAGGACCGAACCGACUAAUGUUGAAAAAUUAGCGGAUGACCUGUGGCUGGGGGUGAAAGGCCAAUCAAACCGGGAGAUAGCUGGUUCUCCCCGAAAGCUAUUUAGGUAGCGCCUCGUGAAUUCAUCUCCGGGGGUAGAGCACUGUUUCGGCUAGGGGGCCAUCCCGGCUUACCAACCCGAUGCAAACUGCGAAUACCGGAGAAUGUUAUCACGGGAGACACACGGCGGGUGCUAACGUCCGUCGUGAAGAGGGAAACAACCCAGACCGCCAGCUAAGGUCCCAAAGUCAUGGUUAAGUGGGAAACGAUGUGGGAAGGCCCAGACAGCCAGGAUGUUGGCUUAGAAGCAGCCAUCAUUUAAAGAAAGCGUAAUAGCUCACUGGUCGAGUCGGCCUGCGCGGAAGAUGUAACGGGGCUAAACCAUGCACCGAAGCUGCGGCAGCGAACGUAUCACCCAAGACAACUUUACGGAGUUGACGAUUGACGGAGCGAAGCGACGUCAAAGCGUUCAUUAAAGUCGAGUUGGCUUAGGGAUACGUUCGUUGGGUAGGGGAGCGUUCUGUAAGCCUGUGAAGGUGUGUCGUGAGGCAUGCUGGAGGUAUCAGAAGUGCGAAUGCUGACAUAAGUAACGAUAAAGCGGGUGAAAAGCCCGCUCGCCGGAAGACCAAGGGUUCCUGUCCAACGUUAAUCGGGGCAGGGUGAGUCGACCCCUAAGGCGAGGCCGAAAGGCGUAGUCGAUGGGAAACGGGUUAAUAUUCCCGUACUUGGUGUUACUGCGAAGGGGGGACGGAGAAGGCUAUGUUGGCCGGGCGACGGUUGUCCCGGUUUAAGCGUGUAGGUGUGUGUUCCAGGUAAAUCCGGUUCACUUUAACACUGAGGCGUGACGACGAGGCACUACGGUGCUGAAGCAACAAAUGCCCUGCUUCCAGGAAAAGCCUCUAAGCAUCAGGUAACAUCAAAUCGUACCCCAAACCGACACAGGUGGUCAGGUAGAGAAUACCAAGGCGCUUGAGAGAACUCGGGUGAAGGAACUAGGCAAAAUGGUGCCGUAACUUCGGGAGAAGGCACGCUGACACGUAGGUGAAGUGAUUUACUCAUGGAGCUGAAGUCAGUCGAAGAUACCAGCUGGCUGCAACUGUUUAUUAAAAACACAGCACUGUGCAAACACGAAAGUGGACGUAUACGGUGUGACGCCUGCCCGGUGCCGGAAGGUUAAUUGAUGGGGUCAGCGCAAGCGAAGCUCCUGAUCGAAGCCCCGGUAAACGGCGGCCGUAACUAUAACGGUCCUAAGGUAGCGAAAUUCCUUGUCGGGUAAGUUCCGACCUGCACGAAUGGCGUAAUGAUGGCCAGGCUGUCUCCACCCGAGACUCAGUGAAAUUGAACUCGCUGUGAAGAUGCAGUGUACCCGCGGCAAGACGGAAAGACCCCGUGAACCUUUACUAUAGCUUGACACUGAACAUUGAGCCUUGAUGUGUAGGAUAGGUGGGAGGCUUUGAAGUGUGGACGCCAGUCUGCAUGGAGCCGACCUUGAAAUACCACCCUUUAAUGUUUGAUGUUCUAACGUGGACCCGUAAUCCGGGUUGCGGACAGUGUCUGGUGGGUAGUUUGACUGGGGCGGUCUCCUCCUAAAGAGUAACGGAGGAGCACGAAGGUUGGCUAAUCCUGGUCGGACAUCAGGAGGUUAGUGCAAUGGCAUAAGCCAGCUUGACUGCGAGCGUGACGGCGCGAGCAGGUGCGAAAGCAGGUCAUAGUGAUCCGGUGGUUCUGAAUGGAAGGGCCAUCGCUCAACGGAUAAAAGGUACUCCGGGGAUAACAGGCUGAUACCGCCCAAGAGUUCAUAUCGACGGCGGUGUUUGGCACCUCGAUGUCGGCUCAUCACAUCCUGGGGCUGAAGUAGGUCCCAAGGGUAUGGCUGUUCGCCAUUUAAAGUGGUACGCGAGCUGGGUUUAGAACGUCGUGAGACAGUUCGGUCCCUAUCUGCCGUGGGCGCUGGAGAACUGAGGGGGGCUGCUCCUAGUACGAGAGGACCGGAGUGGACGCAUCACUGGUGUUCGGGUUGUCAUGCCAAUGGCACUGCCCGGUAGCUAAAUGCGGAAGAGAUAAGUGCUGAAAGCAUCUAAGCACGAAACUUGCCCCGA
Molecule: ribosomal RNA, 2873 nt
Filed under: Salmonella enterica subsp. enterica serovar Typhimurium
Lineage: Bacteria; Pseudomonadati; Pseudomonadota; Gammaproteobacteria; Enterobacterales; Enterobacteriaceae
Description: partial 23S ribosomal RNA
Rfam family: Bacterial large subunit ribosomal RNA
Source: RNAcentral